RNAcentral lists this ribosomal RNA (434 nucleotides) under uncultured Methanosaeta sp. RNAcentral's name for it is "bacterial SSU rRNA". It matches the Rfam family "Archaeal small subunit ribosomal RNA", at positions 904 to 1338 of the family's 1478-position model. The record is from RNAcentral. Lineage: Archaea; Methanobacteriati; Methanobacteriota; Methanomicrobia; Methanotrichales; Methanotrichaceae.
AAUUGGAUUCAACGCCGGAAAUCUUACCGGGACCGACAGCAAUAUGAAGGCCAGGCUGAAGACUUUGCCGGAUUAGCUGAGAGGUGGUGCAUGGCCGUCGUCAGUUCGUACUGUGAAGCAUCCUGUUAAGUCAGGCAACGAGCGAGACCCACGCCCACAGUUGCCAGCGUACUCUCUGGAGUGACGGGUACACUGUGGGACCGCCGCUGCUAAAGCGGAGGAAGGAAUGGGCAACGGUAGGUCAGUAUGCCCCGAAUAUCCCGGGCUACACGCGAGCUACAAUGGUUGGUACAAUGGGUAUCUACCCCGAAAGGGGACGGGAAUCUCCUAAAACCAAUCUUAGUUCGGAUUGAGGGCUGCAACUCGCCCUCAUGAAGCUGGAAUCCGUAGUAAUCGCGUUUCAACAGAACGCGGUGAAUACGUCCCUGCUCCUU